AUGGCUGGAGCAUGGAGGCACCAUUUUCAUGCAAUUUCUCAAGUGUCUGCGCAUCUUUUCAUGGCUCAUUUUAAAUCUCAAGAAUCCAUGAUGUUUGUACUCACGCGUCAGCCGUGGACAAUGGGCUCGGAUAAUCUUCUCAUUGAGUGGGUAGACCCAGUAGAUGAAUCCAAGACAAAGGAAGACUACAAAUUUGAGUACAUCUAUGUGAGUGUUCGAGUUUAUGGAAUCCUCUCUACUGUCGGGAAGCCGUCUGAAUUUCAUCCUCUGCAAGAAAGCAUGUUGUUUGCUAGACCAGACUAUAUUUGGGGAAUUACUAAGAUUCGAAUAUACGAUUGAGUUGUGGACAAAAUUAACUUGACAUUGGAUGAAAAGACUACUAAAAUGGUCUAUUUUCAUUAUGAGAAGAUUGGCAGAAUCUGUUUAUUCUGUGGAGUUAUGUUUCAUACAGUUCAACAUUGCCAAAAGAGGAAUGACAUUAUUAUGGCAAGGGUCAGGAGCGGGAAAUCAGCAGGAGAUAUCCCCUUUUUCAUAUAUGGAGAAUGUGUAAUGGACUCAGGAAAAAUUCCACUACAGGUUUGUGAAGAAGAAAAGGACACAAAUCCCAUUCUUAGUAGAUUCCAAAGGAUGUUUCAAGAUGAUCACAGAACAGAAAAAGGAAAAGUAGCCCUUGGGAAAGCAAAUCUGCAUUCUACAUUGCCCCCAGAUCAUUUUAAUUAUGGACAAGUAAUCGGAGGGGAGUUUUUUAUGGGUCAGAGUUCAUCAGCAGCCAAUCCUAUAAUUAAGGACCAACAUCUCAUAAUUAGUGGCAGCACCAUACCAUCUUUGAAAGCAGCGAAUCAGGGUUAG
RNAcentral lists this ribosomal RNA (849 nucleotides) under Triticum aestivum (bread wheat). RNAcentral describes it as "partial small subunit ribosomal RNA". The record is from RNAcentral. Lineage: Eukaryota; Viridiplantae; Streptophyta; Magnoliopsida; Poales; Poaceae.